Chlorocebus sabaeus (green monkey) is the source of this 711-nucleotide long non-coding RNA. RefSeq lists it as uncharacterized. The record is from RefSeq and is a predicted model, not a curated record. NCBI's taxonomy places the organism in Eukaryota, Metazoa, Chordata, Mammalia, Primates, Cercopithecidae.
UCCUCUGGCUGCAGCCAAAACACCAUGAGUAAUCCCAAGAGAUGCCAACAGAAGAACUGUGUGGCUGAGCCCAGAUCCCAGAACAAAAUCAUGAACAAUACCUUUUGUUUGAAGGUUCUUUGAUUUGGAAUGAUUUGUUACACAGCACUAGACAAUUGAUAUAGCCUCACCCCAACUCCAACCUCAAAUAACUGGUCAUUCUGAAUUCUGAAAGACCACAGCACUCUGUGUCUACUUCUAUAAUAAGAUUCAUAUUUGACCAUAAUUAUUUAUUUCAGCAUAUCUCUCCACUACCAGACUUUGAGUUCCCUGGAACUAAAAACAUUGCUUGGACCUCACAUGUACCUGCAUACCUAAGAGGAAACAAAUUCUACAGCUGCUGUUGGAUGCAAAAGAUCUUUUUCUUUCUUGGAUGCUUUAGAUUCGGACAGAGAAAGAAUCAGAAUCCAUCCUUCUUUUUCCUAACUGGAAUUUGAGAGGCACAAGAAGGGAGCUAAACACGCAGACUUCAGUAUCUGGUGGAAAGAGAUAAGGUGUCUCAAGGAAGGUUAGCAUCAUCAAGAGAUACUACUCCUGAUGUUUUCAUUUUACUUUCCUCGGAUCUGCCUAAAUUCAGUGUCUCUCCUAGAAAACCAGUCAACUCAUGAAAAACUGUUUGUAAGAAAACGUUCUCGACACAAAGAAAAAUAAAGGUUUGAGAUGAUAAAUAUG